RNAcentral lists this unclassified non-coding RNA (246 nucleotides) under air metagenome. Its description in RNAcentral is "partial contains small subunit ribosomal RNA, internal transcribed spacer 1, and 5.8S ribosomal RNA". The stretch from base 1 to 46 matches the Rfam family "Eukaryotic small subunit ribosomal RNA", at positions 1786 to 1831 of the family's 1831-position model. The record is from RNAcentral.
AAGUCGUAACAAGGUUUCCGUAGGUGAACCUGCGGAAGGAUCAUUACCGAGAGACGGGGUCUGACCGGCCCCAACUCUUCACCCGUGUUUACCAAACCUCGUUGCUUUGGCGGGCCGUCGGGGCUUCCCGCGGGAGGUCUUGCGCCCUCCCCGCGCCCGCCAAAAGCCCAACCGAACUCUAUGAUCAGUGAUGUCCGAGUCAAUAUUCAAUAACUAAAACUUUCAACAACGGAUCUCUUGGUUCCA